CGGCGAGUGAAGCGGCAACAGCUCAAAUUUGAAAGCUGGCCCUUUCAGGGUCCGCGUUGUAAUUUGUAGAGGAUGAUUCGGCGAGGGCUCCCGCCUAAGUCCCCUGGAACGGGGCGUCAUAGAGGGUGAGAAUCCCGUAUGCGGUGGGCUGCCUUAGCCAUGUGAAUCUCCUUCGACGAGUCGAGUUGUUUGGGAAUGCAGCUCUAAAUGGGAGGUAAAUUUCUUCUAAAGCUAAAUACCGGCCAGAGACCGAUAGCGCACAAGUAGAGUGAUCGAAAGAUGAAAAGCACUUUGGAAAGAGAGUUAAAAAGUACGUGAAAUUGUUGAAAGGGAAGCGCUUGCAACCAGACUUGUCCGCAGUUGCUCAGCCGGUCUCCUGACCGGCGUACUCUUCUGCGGCCAGGCCAGCAUCAGUUCGGGCGGUCGGAUAAAGACCUCGGGAAUGUAGCUCCUCUCGGGGAGUGUUAUAGCCCGGGGUGGAAUGCGGCCAGCCUGGACUGAGGAUCUCGCUUCGGCAAGGAUGCUGGCGUAAUGGUUGUAAGCGGCCCGUCUUGAAACACGGACCAAGGAGUCUAACAUCUAUGCGAGUGUUUGGGUGUCAAACCCAUACGCGUAAUGAAAGUGAACGGAGGUGGGAACCCGUAAGGGCGCACCAUCGGCCGAUCCUGAUGUCUUCGGAUGGAUUUGAGCAAGAGCAUAGCUGUUGGGACCCGAAAGAUGGUGAACUAUGCCUGAAUAGGGUGAAGCCAGAGGAAACUCUGGUGGAGGCUCGCAGCGGUUCUGACGUGCAAAUCGAUCGUCAAAUUUGGGUAUAGGGGCGAAAGACUAAUCGAACCAU
This 838-nucleotide ribosomal RNA is filed under the name Diplodia intermedia. Its description in RNAcentral is "eukaryotic LSU rRNA". It matches the Rfam family "Eukaryotic large subunit ribosomal RNA", at positions 87 to 943 of the family's 3401-position model. Lineage: Eukaryota; Fungi; Ascomycota; Dothideomycetes; Botryosphaeriales; Botryosphaeriaceae. The record is from RNAcentral.